CACUGGCUUAGAUGGCAAAGAUUGGC
RNAcentral lists this non-coding RNA (26 nucleotides) under Homo sapiens (human). The record is from RNAcentral. Lineage: Eukaryota; Metazoa; Chordata; Mammalia; Primates; Hominidae.